This 504-nucleotide ribosomal RNA is filed under the name uncultured bacterium. Its description in RNAcentral is "partial 16S ribosomal RNA". It matches the Rfam family "Bacterial small subunit ribosomal RNA", at positions 30 to 523 of the family's 1533-position model. The record is from RNAcentral.
AUUGAACGCUGGCGGCAUGCCUUACACAUGCAAGUCGAACGGCAGCAUGGAGAGCUUGCUCUCUGAUGGCGAGUGGCGAACGGGUGAGUAAAGCAUCGGAACGUACCGUGUAGUGGGGGAUAACGUAGCGAAAGUUACGCUAAUACCGCAUACGCACUGAGGUGGAAAGCAGGGGAUCGUAAGACCUUGCGCUAUACGAGCGGCCGAUGUCAGAUUAGCUAGUUGGUAGGGUAAAGGCCUACCAAGGCGACGAUCUGUAGCGGGUCUGAGAGGAUGAUCAGCCACACUGGGACUGAGACACGGCCCAGACUCCUGCGGGAGGCAGCAGUGGGGAAUUUUGGACAAUGGGGGCAACCCUGAUCCAGCCAUGCCGCGUGAGUGAAGAAGGCCUUCGGGUUGUAAAGCUCUUUAAGUUGGGAGGAAGGUCUGUAAGCUAAUAUCUUGCAGUCUUGACGUUACCAACAGAAUAAGCACCGGCUAACUCUGUGCCAGCAGCCGCGGUAA